RNAcentral lists this ribosomal RNA (516 nucleotides) under Globigerinella siphonifera. RNAcentral's name for it is "bacterial SSU rRNA". It matches the Rfam family "Eukaryotic small subunit ribosomal RNA", at positions 1193 to 1460 of the family's 1831-position model. The record is from RNAcentral. Lineage: Eukaryota; Foraminifera; Rotaliida; Globigerinidae.
AUUUGACUCAACGCGGGGAAUCUUACCGGGUCCGGACACACUGAGGAGUUGUCUUUCCCUCCCUUCGGGGUGGGAUUACAAAAGAUAACAGAUCUUUCAUGAUCAUGUGAUGGGUGGUGCAUGGCCGUUCUUAGUUCGUGGAGUGAUCUGUCUGCUUAAUUGCGUUUCAAAUUUUAUAUUUGUUAACAUGCGAGUCUUCAAUGACGGCCGCUCCACCUUAUAGACAUUAUAUGAUAUGCACAUUUGUGUAUUUGAUUAUAACUUGUCUGGAGUCUGGCUCGAUUUUUUUGACUCAAUUGAACGCAACGGACGUGAUUGCAAGUCCUUGUUGAACAAAUUAUAUAUAUACUACUUCAUCAUUAGUAUAUAUAGUUCGCUUCUCAUGUCGUAGCAGUCAAACGGGCGGGCGUCUUAAUUGGCGCGGUCACGAGGCUUAAUAUGCUGCGGCAGGGAAAACUUGGGCGACCGCUGUAAUACUUCUCUCUUAAACCAGAGGAAGAUUGCGGCAAUAACAGG